GACGAACGCUGGCGGUGUGCCUAAUACAUGCAAGUCGUACGCAUUGAUAAUGGAACUUGUUCCAUUUGACGUGAGUGGCGCACGGGUGAGUAACACGUGGGAAACCUACCCUUCAGCGGGGGAUAACCGUCGGAAACGAUGGCUAAUACCGCAUAGGUCUUUGAGUCACCUGACUUAAAGAGGAAAGACGGCUUCGGCUGUCACCGAAGGAUGGUCCCGCGGUGCAUUAGCUAGUUGGUGAGGUAAUGGCUCACCAAGGCGAUGAUACGUAGCCGACCUGAGAGGGUGAACGGCCACACUGGGACUGAGACACGGCCCAG
This 320-nucleotide ribosomal RNA is filed under the name uncultured bacterium. RNAcentral describes it as "bacterial SSU rRNA". It matches the Rfam family "Bacterial small subunit ribosomal RNA", at positions 28 to 334 of the family's 1533-position model. The record is from RNAcentral.